RNAcentral lists this ribosomal RNA (292 nucleotides) under uncultured bacterium. RNAcentral describes it as "partial 16S ribosomal RNA". It matches the Rfam family "Bacterial small subunit ribosomal RNA", at positions 505 to 796 of the family's 1533-position model. The record is from RNAcentral.
GUGUCAGCCGCCGCGGUAAUACGAAGGUGGCAAGCGUUGUUCGGAAUCACUGGGCUUAAAGCGCACGCAGGCGGAUGAUCAAGCGUCUUGUGAAAGCCCUCGGCUCAACCGGGGAAUUGCUGGGCGAACUGAUCGUCUUGAGGCAAGUAGGGGCGAGUGGAACUCUUGGUGGAGCGGUGGAAUGCGUAGAUAUCAAGAGGAACGUCGGAGGCGAAGGCGACUCGCUGGGCUUGUCCUGACGCUGAGGUGCGAAAGCCAGGGGAGCAAACGGGAUUAGAUACCCCCGUAGUCC